CCUACGGGCGGCUGCAGUGGGGAAUAUUGGACAAUGGGGGCAACCCUGAUCCAGCAAUGCCGCGUGAGUGAUGAAGGCCUUCGGGUUGUAAAGCUCUUUUGGCGGGGACGAUGAUGACGGUACCCGCAGAAGAAGCCCCGGCUAACUUCGUGCCAGCAGCCGCGGUAAUACGAAGGGGGCUAGCGUUGUUCGGAAUUACUGGGCGUAAAGCGCGCGUAGGCGGUUGUUCAAGUCAGGUGUGAAAGCCUUGAGCUCAACUCAAGAAAUGCACUUGAUACUGGAUGACUAGAGGACCGGAGAGGAUAGUGGAAUUCCCAGUGUAGUGGUGAAAUACGUAGAGAUUGGGAAGAACACCAGUGGCGAAGGCGGCUAUCUGGACGGUUUCUGACGCUAAGACGCGAAAGCGUGGGGAGCAAACAGGAUUAGAUACCCUUGUAGUC
Molecule: ribosomal RNA, 440 nt
Filed under: Salmonella enterica subsp. enterica
Lineage: Bacteria; Pseudomonadati; Pseudomonadota; Gammaproteobacteria; Enterobacterales; Enterobacteriaceae
Description: bacterial SSU rRNA
Rfam family: Bacterial small subunit ribosomal RNA
Source: RNAcentral